AUUGAACGCUGGCGGCAGGCUUAACACAUGCAAGUCGAGCGAGUGGCGGACGGGUGAGUCAUGCUUGGGAAUCUGGCUUAUGGAGGGGGAUAACUACUGGAAACUGUAGCUAAUACCGCAUACCAUCGGAUGAGCCCACGUGGGAUUAGUUAGUUGGUGGGGUAAAGGCUCACCAAGGCGACGAUCCCUAGCUGGUCUGAGAGGAUGACCAGCCACACUGGAACUGAGACACGGCCCAGACUCCUACGGGAGGCAGCAGUGGGGAAUAUUGCGCAAUGGGGGCAACCCGGAUGCAGCCAUGCCGCGUGAAUGAAGAAGGCCUUCGGGUUGUAAAGUACUUUCGGUAGGGAGGCGUGAACCGCAGAAGAAGCACCGGCUAACUCCGUGCCAGCAGCCGCGGUAAUUC
Molecule: ribosomal RNA, 406 nt
Filed under: uncultured bacterium
Lineage: Bacteria
Description: partial 16S ribosomal RNA
Rfam family: Bacterial small subunit ribosomal RNA
Source: RNAcentral